Molecule: ribosomal RNA, 379 nt
Filed under: uncultured bacterium
Lineage: Bacteria
Description: bacterial SSU rRNA
Rfam family: Bacterial small subunit ribosomal RNA
Source: RNAcentral
GACGAACGCUGGCGGCGUGCCUAACACAUGCAAGUCGAACGAGGUCCAUCCUUCGGGAGAAGACCUAGUGGCGAACGGGUGAGUAACACGUGAAGAACCUGCCCCGAAGACCGGGAUAACCCUCCGAAAGGAGAGCUAAUACCGGAUACCCCCACCGAACCGCAUGGUUUGGUGAGGAAAUGGAUUCCGCUUCGGGAGGGCUUCGCGGCCUAUCAGCUAGUUGGUGGGGUAACGGCCACCAAGGCAUCGACGGGUAGCUGGUCUGAGAGGACGAUCAGCCACACUGGGACUGAGACACGGCCCAGACUCCUACGGGAGGCAGCAGUGGGGAAUCUUGCGCAAUGGGCGAAAGCCUGACGCAGCAACGCCGCGUGGGGGA